Non-coding RNA from Schizothecium vesticola, 93 nucleotides. Lineage: Eukaryota; Fungi; Ascomycota; Sordariomycetes; Sordariales; Schizotheciaceae. The record is from the annotation of a GenBank genome assembly.
GGGCGUAUGGUCUAGUGGUAUGAUUUCUGUUUUGCAGUGCUUUAGUGUCCUUGCUUCUACAGACGGUCCCGCGUUCAAUCCGCGGUACGUCCA